RNAcentral lists this ribosomal RNA (381 nucleotides) under uncultured bacterium. RNAcentral's name for it is "bacterial SSU rRNA". It matches the Rfam family "Bacterial small subunit ribosomal RNA", at positions 28 to 402 of the family's 1533-position model. The record is from RNAcentral.
GACGAACGCUGGCGGCGUGCUUAACACAUGCAAGUGGAGCGACGAACCAGGGCUUGCCCUGGGGCAGAGCCGCGAACGGGUGAGUAACACGUGGGUAACGUGCCCCGAUGAUCGGGACAACCCGGGGAAACCCGGGCUAAUACCGAAUGUGCUCCCCUCACACCAGUGAGGGAUGGAAAGGAAGCUUCGGCCUCCGCAUCGGGAUCGGCCCGCGGCCCAUUAGCUUGUUGGUGAGGUAACGGCUCACCAAGGCUGCGAUGGGUAGCUGGUCUGAGAGGACGAUCAGCCACACUGGGACUGAGACACGGCCCAGACUCCUACGGGAGGCAGCAGUGGGGAAUCUUGCGCAAUGCGCGAAAGCGUGACGCAGCAACGCCGCGU